This 405-nucleotide ribosomal RNA is filed under the name uncultured bacterium. RNAcentral describes it as "partial 16S ribosomal RNA". It matches the Rfam family "Bacterial small subunit ribosomal RNA", at positions 29 to 526 of the family's 1533-position model. The record is from RNAcentral.
AUUGAACGCUGGCGGCAGGCCUAACACAUGCAAGUCGAACGAGUGGCGGACGGGUGAGUAAUGUCUGGGAAUCUGGCUUAUGGAGGGGGAUAACGACGGGAAACUGUCGCUAAUACCGCGUACCAUAGGAUGAGCCCAAGUGGGAUGAGGUAGUUGGUGGGGUAAUGGCCGACCAAGGCGACGCUCUCGAGCUGGUCUGAGAGGAUGAACAGCCAAACCGGAAAUGAGACACGGCCCAGACUUCUACGGGAGGCAGCAGUGGGGAAUAUUGCACAAUGGGGGCAACCUGACGCAGCCAUGCCGCGUGGAUGAAGAAGGCCUUCGGGUUGUAAAGUUCUUUCGGUGACGAGGCGUGAAUCGCAGAAGAAGCACCGGCUAACUCCGUGCCAGCAGCCGCGGUAAUAC